Molecule: long non-coding RNA, 291 nt
Organism: Phyllostomus discolor (pale spear-nosed bat)
Lineage: Eukaryota; Metazoa; Chordata; Mammalia; Chiroptera; Phyllostomidae
Exons: 3
Source: RefSeq, a predicted model, not a curated record
GAUAUCCAAAUUUCUUUGUAAACCAAGUGUUGAACACAGUGGAGCUGCUAUGAACAUGGAUCCUGAGUAGUUAUGUAGAGGACAGCUGUUCUUUGAACCUGAACAUCCACUGCAGGCUGAUCAGGUGCUCUGACUGCUCACCUAGGGAUAUGUUUGCCUUCCAAGUCCUCUCCGUGGGAAUUCCAAAGUUUUACACAGAAGGUGAAUUCACUUGCAAUUUGACCUGAUGACUAAUUUGAUGUGCACAAGAUUCUAUGCCACCCUUUAAAAAUCCUGGGCGUAAGGAUGUCA